Molecule: ribosomal RNA, 370 nt
Filed under: uncultured organism
Description: partial 16S ribosomal RNA
Rfam family: Bacterial small subunit ribosomal RNA
Source: RNAcentral
GGGGGAGCAAGCGUUGUUCGGAAUCAUUGGGCGUAAAGAGCUCGUAGGCGGCUCCGUAAGUCAGGGGUGAAAUCCAGUGGCUCAACCAUUGUCACGCCUCUGAAACUACGGAACUUGAGUUCAGGAGAGGAAAGCGGAAUUCCAGGUGUAGCGGUGAAAUGCGUAGAUAUCUGGAGGAACACCGGUGGCGAAGGCGGCUUUCUGGCCUGAAACUGACGCUGAGGAGCGAAAGCCAGGGGAGCGAACGGGGGAUUAGAUACCCCGGUAGUCCUGGCCGUAAACGAUGGGCACUAGGUGUGGGAGAUCGACCCUUUCCGUGCCGCAGUUAACGCAUUAAGUGCCCCGCCUGGGGAGUACGACCGCAAGGCUA